CUGGCUGAGGAUCUUUUAACAAUUAGCGGUUCAAAUUGUACAUUGUUUAACACCUUGUUUCCUUGAACCACAGAACACAAUUCUUUAGGACUGAUUUAGAAGUCAAAGUCAAUGAUAUUGUCAUGCCGGGAAGUUUCACUUUUUCUCAUCAUAAUCAAAUUCCCAAGUAAAAGGAUAUUACCAAAAACCAGGAUUAAAUCAAGCAUAGCUAUUUCCUAUUUCAAACUAUAAUCGUCACUAAACCUUGAAAUGAUACAGAUUUUCUUUUCAAACUCGUAAAAGUGUUUUCAUAUGAGAAGACAAGAUAAAGAUAUGUGCAUUUUCACACGGCGAUCAGAUGUCAAAGGGAAAAUAUGCAAGCAAAUCACUGGACUUUAAUCUUGAAGAAGAAAAGGUUAUUUCUGCAAUUAAAUGAGUUCACUUCCUGGUCUAUUCUGCAGAAUAUUUCCCACCAUUUUGUGUGAUAUGCUUGUGAAUCUCCUUCCGUGCAUCUAAGAUAAUGAAGGACAUAAAAAUUGAAGAACUGGAGGACAACCAACAGCAGCGGCUAUAUCAAACAAUCAGUACCUGCCGGAAUUCCUAUGACAUUCAUUGUCAAUCCAGAAAAUGGAAGAACUCUAUAAGACUCUUGAGGUACAACACGGUGCUCAAUACGGCAUUAGUAUAACCAAUUAAUGGUGACAACAGGUCACUUCAGAACAUUUAAAGCCCACUGUACGAUGACAACAUAUAUUGAUAAAUACAAUUUAUCUCUCAAGAUGGGAUUCAUAAAAGAAUUUGCUCAUAGAAUAUCCAAAAAAAAAAAUAUGGAGGAAACUCUUCCUAAGUUCAGCCAACUCAAUCAGAGUACUACCCAUGAUCUCAUUUAAAGUGAAUUUAACCUUUAACAAGAUACAACAAAUUCGCUACUCCUUACCAAAAAAAAAAAAAAAAACAAAUUUGCUACUCUUAAACUAAAUUCAAAUUUUUAACUCCAAGACCUAAACCCUGUAUUUUGCAGCCAAAAUAUUCUUCGCAAUUUUGAAGCUAACAUCUGCUGAAGUUUUGGUCUGUAGAGCUCCCCCCGUUGAAGUAACCUAUUUCUCAAUCUCAGCCUGCAGACUCACAGAAAUGGUGAAACAAUAAGAGAGACGACAGGCUGCCACCAUAUUUGUUCAGACAAAAGCAUGUCUGCAAGCAAAAGAUUCAAGGGGUCACAUAGAAGGAUACAUGUAUAAGGAUAAGUGACACGCCACACUGAAUUUGAGUGACAAGUUACGACAAAGAUUACAUGCUAAAAAAUCAUACAAGGCCAGGCUUAUCUAGGAACAGGCAUACCUCCUCAUCCGUCUCAAAUCCAGAUGCAAGGACUUCGACACCAUCCAUAGCAAGACAAACAAGUAUACCCUUUUUGCGGUAGAGGUCUCCGUUCUUUCGCAUGCGAAACCACCACACACUGCAGACCUGCAAGAAAUAUCCUCCAUCAAAGUCAACAUUUUUUUUCCCAGGCGGAAGAACUCCUCUCGACUUGCUUGACCAGCACAUAGACCCAAAUGCCUCCGUUUUCAUUUCUCAACUACAAGUCUUGGUUUAGCAUUUAGCAGCCUUCAAAAUAUGAAUGUGACCCCAUCUUUUAGCAACCUUGUAUUUAUCUUCUGGAGCUUACAGCCAGUCAAGGGCAUCGUAGUGGAACUCACAGUGCUACAGAGCAUCAUAUAUGAGGCCAAUAGAAAGAUUCAAUGGUAAUAACAUUGCUGAGCAAUGUGCUUUGAGCAACCAACGGGCAGUCCUAACUCACACUGGAAAAGUGAGAACUGGUUGAGGAUCUUUUAACAAUUAGCGGUUCAAAUUGUACGUUGUUUAACACCUCGUUUCCUUGAACCACAGAACACAAUUCUUUAGGACUGAUUUAAAAGUCAAAGUCAAUGAUAUUGCCAUGCCAGGAAGUUUCACUGUCUCUCACCGUAAUCAAAUUCCCAAGUAAAAGGAUAUUACCAAAAACCAGGAUUAAAUCAGGUAUAGCUAUUUCCUAUUUCAAACUAUAAUCAUCACUAAACAUUGAAAUGAUACAGAUCUUCUUUUCAAACUCUUAAAAGUGUUUUCAUAUGCGAAGACAAGAUAAAGAUAUGUGCAUUUUGACACGGUGAUCAGAUAUCAAAAGGAAAAUAUGCAAGCAAAUCACUGGACCUUAAUCUUGAAGCAGAAAAGGAUAUUUCUGCAAUUAAAUGACUGCACUUCCUGGUCAAUUCUACAGAAUAUCUCCCACCAUUUUCUGUAAUAUGCUUCUGAAUCUCCUUCCGUGCGUCUGAGAUCAUGAAGGACAUAAAAAUUGAAGAACUGGAGGACAACCAACAGCAGCAGCUAUAUCAAACAAUCAGUACCUGUAGGAAUUUCUGUGACAUUCAUUGUCAAUCCAGAAAAUGGAAGGACUCUAUAAGACUCUUGAGGUACAACACGAUGCUCAAUACAGCAUUGGUAUAACCAAUUAAUGGUGACAACAGGUCACUUCAGAACAUUUAAAGCCCACUGCACGAUGACAACAUUAAUUGAUAAAUACAAUUUAUCUCUCAAGAUGGGAUUCAUAAAAGAAUUUGCAUAGAGAAUAUUCAAAAAAAAAAAAGAUGGAGGAACUCUUCCUAAGUUCAGCCAACUCAAUCAGAGUACUACCCAUGAUGCUUCCCAUACUCAGUGAAAAAGCAUAAUGAAUCUUUAAAGUGAAUUUAACCUUAACAAGAUACAACAAAUUCGCUACUCUUAAACUAAAUUCAAAUUAUUAACUUCAAGACCUAAACCCUGUCUUUUGCAGCCAAAAUAUUCUUCGCAAUUACGAACCUAACAUCUGCUGAAGUUUUGGUCUGUAGAGCUCCCCCCGUUGAAGUAACCGAUUUCUCAAUCUCAGCCUGCAGACUCACGGAAAUGGUGAAACAAUAAGAGAGAUGACAGGCUGCCAUCAUAUUUGUUCAGACAAAAGCAUGUCUGAAGGCAAAAGAAUCAAGGGUUCACAUAGAAGGAUACAUGGAUAAGGAAAAGUGACGCGCCACACUGAAUUUGAGUGACGAGCUACGACAAAGAGUACACGCUAAAAAAUCAUACAAGGCCAGGCUUAUCUAGGAACAGGCAUACCUCCUCAUCCAUCUCAAAUCCAGAUGCAAGGACUUCGACACCAUCCAUCGCAAGACAAACAAGUAUACCCUUUUUGCGGUAGAGGUCUCGGUUCUUUCGCACACGAAACCACCACACACUGCAGACCUGCAAGAAAUAUCCUCCAUCAAAGUCAACAUUUUUUCCCAGGCAGAAGAACUCCUCUCGACUUGCUUGACCAGCACAUUGACCCCAAUGCCUCCGCUCUCAUUUCUCAACUACAAGUCCUGGUUUAGCAUUUAGCAGCCUCGAGGAAAAACCAGAAGAUAAGACUAGGACGAGAACAAGAUCUUUACCGACUAGCUAACAACCCUUUCAACUGAAGAUCCUCGAACUUCUCAAGACGUAAAACAACCUCAAACCCAAUUCUCAAAAUGAACCCAAAAGCCGUUAGCGCCGCCCAAUCCCAACGUACUCACGUGAUCGGAGAGAAGAAACAGCUUGAAAAUCGCGGGGCCCACUCCUGGAAGGGUCGCGGCGGAGGAAGGCCUCAGCUCCGUUCAGCUUGAGCGCGUCGAACAGCUCGGGAGGCACUGAAGUUCCUCGGCACAAACACGGUCGCCCCCUGAAACGGCUUCGUCUUCGCCAUUUCCUAUCGUCCUUCUCCGGCGGCGACUUCCUCGACAGAUGAUCGAUCUCGUUGCUAAGGAUUUCUGCGAAAUCCAAAUGCAUGUGCGUGAAAGAGAGAGAGAGAGCGAAGAUGAAGCGCAAAGGGAAACGGAAGUUGGAAGAGGAUGAAGGAGGAGCGACUUGGGGAAAAAUUGAGUGGAGUGAGCUUUUUCUGAAUUCUUCCCCCAAAUUGGGAUGGAUUAGGGUAUGAGAAAGCGCGGGAAUGGGGUUUUCCGGCUUUUCCUUUUAAUUCCCCUUUUUUGUGCUAUUAAUUUUAUGGAUAAUUUCUCAAAACACCCCCCCCCCCAACAACUUUCACACCGUUGCAUGACUGCCCUCCAACUUUGAAGAAGGUUCGCACUAUGGACACGAGCCAUGAAAAGAAAAUAAUAUAAAAGAAUAAAAGCAAAGAAUUCAUAAAGAUUUCUUUUUUGAAAAUUGUAAAAUAUUGUCCAUGUUAGUAUUACCUACGUCACGGGCAAUGAUUGACAUUCACAUCUAUAAUUUUCAAAUUAAAUUAAUCAAAAGAAUUACAUUAAGAAAUUGUCAAAAACUUUAAAAUUAAAUUGACCAAAUUAAAAAGUUUAUGAUUGAAUUAACAUUUGUUAAUAAUUAUUUUGUUAAUUUUUCCCUAAAAAGUUAGUCACAUGUCUAGAUCAAAACUUCACAUGAAGUCUUUAUUGUGGACUCAUAAGUGCCGAAGAAUUACAUUGGAUCAUGGAUAACUCUUUUUAUCAUGUUUCAAGAGCAACCAGAGAUUGGGGCUUCUUGGCGAUAAAUCUUUUUACAGAUUUUUUUUUUUUUUGAGUUCAACUCUACGUUAUAUGACCAAUCAAAAGAAUUUUAGAGACACUUUUAGAGAAAUCCUAAUAUUAAUUAUAAUAAUAAACGUGAGUCAAAACCUUCAUUUCGUACAUUUAAAUCCCAAAAGUUGUAACUCCAACAUAUGGGUCUCCUUUUGUUAAUUUUGUCAAUGGAUGGAUAAUAACAAGUGGCUUUUUUCUAACCACGAGGCAUUUUCUGUCUGCUGAAACCUAAUAGGACUAAUGGGAAGACUAAAGUGGAUGAAUACAAUAAGCUGAGGGCUAAGGUGCAUGAAAUAAAAAUUUUAAGACCCAAAUGUAUCGUCGAGACAUCUUUUAAGUUAACUUACAAAUUCAUCAAUGGAGAUACACAUAUCCCAUGCUAACAAAACUUACAAUCGAUCAUUCCAUAAAAUCAACUUUGGAAAUAUGCUUGCUAUGUUUGCACAUAUAAUCUCGGGACAAAAAUAAUAAUUGCGAAAAUCCAAAGAAUCAAUCCAUGACAUCUCGGGUCAGACAUGAUUGUGACAUUGGAUAGAGCAUUCAGAGGCCCAUGAAAUUUGCAGUUUUACAAGACGAAAAAGGAAAUCUAGUAAUAGGAGUAGAUGCACAGUUAGAUCCAAUCUAUACUUUGGGACUUCGGAACCUAUAGAGGAGGUACUUGGAACCCCUAAAUUCCAACACACCUUGUACAAAGAAGAUUUUGAAUGAGCCAUCAAGUUGUAUAUAAACAAUUUCCAUGUAGGUAUAUUGGUUUAUAUGAUAUACAUUCAUUUAAUUGACCCUGAAGCUAUAUCCAUGUUGAGUUUGUGAUACUACUCUUCUUGAAGUGCCUUAUGAUAAGUCUACUAUUCAUCAUAAAUGUCUUUGACCUAAGUUUCUAAACAAGUUUGUAUUAAGGUUUCUCAAGCAGGACUGUUGGACUAAUUCAUCGGUAUGUCCAUGAUUAGCCUUAAUAUAGGAGCUGGCCAAAUACACCUCUAAUCCAAUGCAAUCAAUUGGACUCUGCGUGAUCAAACGGUUAAACACGGAAAAGUUUCGGGAAAUUUCGAUCUAUUUGCCUUGCCGCUCCCAACUUAUGCACCUAGUAAGGUACUUCGUUAUAGAAUGACCAAGAGUAACUCAUCCAUCAAGUGAAAAACUUACUAGUAAUUGCCACUCUAUAUUGAUGAUAUAGAAGACGAUCUCCGAAAUAAACUCAAAAAAGGCAAAAAUUAUAAUGCAAAUAGGAAUUUAUAGCUCUUGCCCCAAAGAAAUCAUUAUUGGAGAUAUGAGGCAUCCCACAAUGCCAAUUAACUGCAAAGGUGAUGAUGACCAGUCAGUCAAAUGAAUUCAAAUAGCUAUUGAAAAGUUCAACAAAAGGAAAUGAACUUAUAUGUCACAGGGAGACAUCUUAAAGGUGUGUGCUUUCUAAUUCUCGCUAUGCAGCAAUAACUAGAUUGUUCAAAACUCGGAGGUGCAGUUGGUUGAAGGUUUAGUUUAAGGGGAAGAGAGGGAUUGGGUUUGGUAGAUAUGAGUCUUUCCUCUACGGACUUCUUUGAAUGGAAAAGCAUGUCAUUCAAAUCCACCUCUAGUUUUCUCUUAACCUUCUUCUAAGGCAAUAUCGCCUCUCCCUGUCUUGCAUCUUUCGAGAAGGUGCUCAAAGUUUUCUUGGUUUCCUCUUGCUUAGUUCUAUCUGAUCUCAAAUAGUUUAUCGGGAUUCUUUUAGCACUGGAUGAUGACGAUGACGAUGAUUGAUUACAGUUACUUUUAUACAAUGCAAGUGAGCUUUUCUUUUCCAUCCUUUCCUUUGUUUGCUGUAUUCGUUGCCGAGCUCCACAUGUAAUCAUGGCAUACAACCUUAAAUAUGCUCGGAUUGGAGAGAUGAACCGGCUAGGAUUCUGGUCCCAGAAUCAUAUCAACACGAUAAGGAUCGAAAGCUUUUUUGCAAAAAGAAAUUAUGGGCAAUGAGUCAGCUCUCACUCCCACAUUUCUUAUAGAUCCAUCACUUCUUACUAAAUUAGGGCAACGUUGUUGUAAUUAUGGGUGCAAUAAUUUUGAAGAGACGCUCCAAAAAAAAAUAAAAAAAUUCGUCAGGCCUCGACGGAACGAAGAGGCAUUUUCUCGCAUUAGCUUUAGUGUUGAGGCAUGCACUUUGUGCGUGCAUGAUCACAAAUGGAUAGCGUAUGAAGAGACAAGAAUUGUUUUUAUUAAGCGGAUGUGGAGUGCGUGCUAAUUACACACGGGUGUAAUUUGGUGAUUACUUGGUAAGAAGAGGGUGUGCAAUUUUAAUCUUCGACAGGAGGGCAAUUUUGAAAAAAGGAGAGUGACAAAAUGAUAUUUUGGUGAAAACAAAGAAGUGCAAGUGCUUCGAGAUUUGAACCAGGGACCACAAGCGAUAAAGAUUGAAUGGCAAUAAACUUAUUUUGCCAUUUGGAGAUAGAUCUUCAUACACCCAUCAAAAUGGUGUUUCAGGUUGGUUUUGGAAUGGAUCGAAAAUGGUCCGGUCCAAAUAAACUCAUUUUAAUCCAUUUAAAUCCAUUUACAAACAAUAUGUAUAUAGUGACUCAUAUUAAACAUGUUCCGCGUUGCUAAAAUAUCUCUUUAUUUAACCUAAAUCUAGGAAAAUUCACAUCCAAAAUUGAGGUGGGUUGGGUCAUAAACCCAUUUAGGGCGCGUUUGGUAACGAUUAUGUUCUCGGGAACUGAUUCUGACCAGAAAUGAUUAUUUCUGAUUCUGUUCCCGCGAACUGAUUAUGAGGAAAAAAACGCGUUUGGUAACAAAUAAAAUUUCUGAUUCUGGAAUAGAAAAAGAAUAGAAAUGCGUUUGGUAAUUAUAUAAAAUUUCUAUUCCAAUUCUUUUUUAAUUACCUUUUUAGAUUAAAAUAAAUUUGAUAUUGAAUUUUCAUAAACCAAUUGAAUUUUCAUAAACCAUUCACUGAUUAAUUAUAUUUUUAUACUAAGUAAUAAAAAUAUUAACUAAUCAAUUUUUAUUAUAUAGUAAAUAAUAAACCAUAGUAUAAACUAUACUAAUAUCACUACAAUAUGUAAUAAAUAAAAAUACUAAAUUAUAACAUAAAAUUAAAUAUGUAUUCUAUAUACAACAAAUAUAUAUUUCAUACUAGGAAGAAAUAAAAAAAAAUAUAGAAAUAAAAAAAAAAAUUGAUUCGGCACUUUUGAUUCUCUUUUUUGAUUCUCGGAUGGAGAAUCAUAUUUUUUUUUUUUAUUCUGAAUUCUUGUCCAAAACUGAUUCUGGGAGUAAAUUUGUUCCCAAAAUCAGUUUUGGACAAAAAAUUUACCAAACGCGAUUCUGUUCCCAAACUGAUUCUGAGAACAAAAAAUCAGAAUCAGGCACUGUUUGGAUGGUUGCCAAACAGGGCCUUAAUAGCUCAUCAUUUAUUAUGUACGAUUACGAUCUAUUUUGAUAGGUUUAGUUAUUCAAGAGGGAUAAAAAGACAAAAAACGCCCAGAUCGGAUCCGGACUCAGCACUGUUUUCGCAGCACCAAUUGCAACGGGCAAAUGGCCCCUUUCCUCGCCCGACCCACGAUCCAUCCCCCACAUUUCUCGUCCGUGCCACGUGACUCGCAGGUGCAGAGACAGAGAGAGAUUUGAAAGCUUCCGGUUUUCAUGUGACCCCACCUCGAACGCCCACACCCCCCAGCUUCAGCGCUUGGAGUUUAAAGGAAAAUACGACGACGCGGCACGAACCGUUCGACCUCGGCAAUUCUUGGCAGAGGGCAAUGCCGUUUCGCUCUUCCAUCCCCCGUUUUUAUAUUUUUCAUCUUUUAUUUAUUUCCUUUUUUUUCUUUUUCUCGAAUAUGGUUAAAGGCCAAAUCCCCAUUUUCCCCCCUCCCCUUUUUUGGAUUUUCAUACAUUCUUUUUUCUCCUCCGCUUGGGAUUUUUAUGCAGGACGAAAUUUCCUGUUCUUUUUUCUUUGCUAAUUUAAUGAAAGAGAUCUUGAAAGGGGAAAGUCUGUCAAAUUGAAGCCGUGUAUAUCCGGGUACCCUUCUUUGUUUCCAUUUUCAGUUAUUGGCAAUAAAAUUAUUUUCGAAUAAUGGAGAAACCUCAAUUUUUGAAAAAAUGAUAAUGAAUGUCUCGAGACAAAUCAGAUGCAUUGUAUAAAAAGAAGUAAUGCAGAUGCUUUGGCCACUCACUAGGAUUUUGACUUAUGUUUUAUCAGGUUCAUGACGUUAAAGGGUUAUUUUCAGGGAUUCUUCUGAAAUUGGAUUAUCAUCGAAAAGGGAGUACGAGUAAAUUAUAAGACUUGAUCAAUAGAAUUUAUGCAAAGUCUUCUUUUUUUUUUGGGUCAAAAAAUUUAUGUAGAGACUUUGACUGCCAAAAAGUUCAAUAAAUUAUAGCUACCCUUGCGGCGGAGGAGCGUGCGGAAGACGCGCCUGUCCGAACACGUGAGGUCAAAACUCGCCAUCCCUUUACCUCAGUUCCCAAUCCGUCGCUUUGUGAAAAAUGCUUUCAUCAACAUUCGCUCUGAAAAUGUGAAAUAGGCACAGCAGUUCAUUGUCUCCGGAGCGUCGAGCGAGUGUCGACCACCAUGGGGAAGAGAAGAGGCAAAAACCCUAAUCUCCCACACCCUAGCAGUUUAUUAGGAUUCUUUUAGCACCGGAUGGUCAUGAUGAUGAUUGAUUACAGUUACUUUUAUACAACGCAAGUGAGCUUUUCUUUUCCAUCCUUUCCUUUUUUUGCCAUUUUUGCAUCGGACUCCACAUGUAAUCAUGGCAUACAACCUUAAAUAUGCUCGGAUUAGAGAGAUGAAACAGCUGGGAUUCUGGUCCCAGACUCAUGUCAACAUGGUGAGGAUUGAAAGCUUUUUUGCUAAACAAAUUUAGGAACCCUAGCAGUUGCUGCUGUUGGGCUGUGAAUAGGGUUGCUAGCAGAAGUUGAACCAUGAAUGCCUAAAUCAAUAGACAAUCUCUCUGGCGGGGGUUGUGACUGAGCAACUGCAAGACCCUCAAUUGAAACUAACUCCUUUGUUUUAGGCGCCAACAUCUUUUCUCUUGAUACUCCUAUAAACAGAUGAUAAGAACAACAUAAGCUACCAUUUAGUGGCAUAUAUCUACUUAUGCGUCGCACUUGGAAGGAAAUUCACAUACAGGAGUAAAGAAGAAAGAUGCUACUCUACAUUCUCAUGAAAAGCGAAAGUGCAAAUACUUUUACCACUAUGAGGUCUUGAAAUUCAUAAAUUACAUCGCUCAAGGAGCAUACAUUAAUUAUAUUAUCAAUGUCUAAAUCUAUUUUAGCUGACAACCACUUUUAUUUCUUUGUGACUCGCGAAUCACUGUUUCCUCCAUCCACAUGAAGAAACAUAAAAGCCAUAUUACAUAAAAGUUACCCAUAAAAAAAAAAAGUCAAAGCAAUAGGUGGAAUAAGUAAAGACAAUAUAAUAAUCACUUUGAAGGAAAACUAUGUUAAGUCAUGUGGCGGGCAGGUAAAACACAAAAAAUAUUGGCGUUCUCCCCUUUCACCAAGCACUACAUAUUCUCUUUCAAUUCAUGGAAAAGAAAGUUGGUGGAAGAAUGUAGAAAUAACCAUACCUCAUGUCUGUUGUAAAGUGCCCUUCGCUUCUCUUCGGCCCUACAAAUUGCCCGCUUAAUACCAUGGUUGUCCAUAAAACCAUUUGGCCACAAGGUCCACAACUCUGCAAGCUGUACCUAGUCUCCAAAAAGUCAAGACAUUACACUGACAAAAGCCUCGGAACCAGCGGAUGUAGGUAAAAUCCAACCGAGGUGAUAAAUAAACAGAGAUCAUAUAAAAUCAUUUGCGAUGCAAAGACGACGGGCUCCAUGGAAAUGUUUUUUUAUUUUAAUAUGCUGGUGCCCACAUGCCUUACAUCCUCAAUUUCUCCUGUAUCUUUUUCUUCCCUAGUAGGAAAGAAUGCCCUCCAGUUAUUUUAAAUCCUAGUAAUCCUAAGGUUCAGAGGAGGACGGAGAUCAAAAGGUGAUAAAUAAAUAGAGAUCAUAUAAAAUAACAAGUCAAGCCAACCAAUUCAGUGGGUUCUCCACAUUUCGUAUGCAUGCUAUCACGAUUAUCAUAAAAAAUGUUUACUCGAAAUGACUCCAUAGCGGCCCAAAGUUGACAGCUGUAGCCAUUUCAAAAAGUAGGUUGCACUGUCCACUCUUCGCAUCAGUUAUUAAUUCAGAACAAGGGGAAAUGCGGGGUUUAGUGCUUCAUGAUUUCAUAUAAUUGCAUAAAUAAAUUAUAAACUAACACUGCAUGUGAAACCCACAUUAGGAAAACCAUCACCAUGUUUGACCACUAUACGAACAUACUUGCAACUGUGAACAUGAAAUAUAUUAAAUAUCAGCACUGUAAAUGCAGUUGAUCCCACAUCCAACUAUUAUUUCCGGCAAACUACGGCAAUAUACACCGUCAUUAUGGUUUUGUGAACAGUUCACAAAUGUGAACUGUCAAAACAAGAUUGCAAUAUGUCUAUAAUAGCUAGACAGCCAUAGGAAUAGUAAUUUUUAGUUUUUGGGGCUACUGGUACCUCGGCAUAAAUUUUCUGACUUGUGGACCGGUGUCCUUAUCAAGACCCUAAAAGCAUGAAAUCAAAUAGACAAUCAUGUUUAAAAGUAGCUUUCUAAAGCAUGUUUCAACUAGAAAAAGGCAGUAUAAAAAAUGCAAAGGAAAUAUGUACAUCAACAAAAAGGUCAUAGAGAUCACAAAUCUCGUCCUCCAUUGCAGCAUCCAUAUCAUAUUGUCUUUUAGGAAUUUAUUUUUCCUUCCAAUUCCUGAAAAUCAUUCGAUGCUCCAGAUUGAUGAUGUAGAGCCUGAAUAUCUGGCGGAGAAUGCUAACUUUGGUAAGCAAUGCAAUAACAUAAACCACAAUUAAGGAACCGACAAAAUGCAAAUUCUUCUGAACCCCUUGGCAUCAAACAUUAAUAAAUCUGGUAAAAAAGCCAUUAACAAGUCAGUCACGUCACGAAAGAAACCGUUAAAGAUGACAAAUCAUUCAAUUUUGCACUUCGUAAAGUCUUGAGAUCUUUGUCUUGGUAAAUUUCCUUACUCAUCGUAACUUUUCUUUAUCAAAUGAUAAUUUGAUCACAUCCAUGACUUUCUUUCAUGUAUUGAAGUGAUGACAGAAAAUCGAUUUUGCAAAAUAGACUCGACGGAUCAUGUUUUUGUCCUUUCUAUCCAACGGUCCACGUUGAAUGUAGGACUAAUCCCAUAAAAGAGAGUUUUGAUUUGCGAAAUUUCCAUCCCCAUCAAGAGGUUUUGCCUAUAAUAAAGUAGCUUUUUAUUAUUAUUUUUGCCAAACAGUAAAGUAGUGUUUGGAAAUGCUAUUUUUCCUGAAGUUUUGAAAAUCAUUCCAUUGUAAUAUAUAUUUAAUAUAUAGAAAGGAAAAAAAUGUAAAUUAAGAAACAAUAUUACUUUGCCAAUGUUGUCUUUCACUGACGCACAGCAACAGAUACGUCUAUAACUUUCAUAUGAUAUGCAAGUCUUCCGUUUCCGAAGUAACCUUCACACAUAAUCCUAUCUGCCGAGGUUAACGAUUUUUCAAGCCCAAGCGUGUCAAAUGAAGCCCGGGGUGCAAAAUAGAGCUUAGACAAACUUCAGGGGCGAAAGAGGAAAUUUCAAAAAAAAAAAAUCGAAAAAAUAAGGUUCCAAUCUCUCCCAUUCUCCAGCGUAUAUAUAAAAAUAGGCAGCGGAAGACAUCACCAAUCCCGCCAUCGCUGGGAACGUCUUUUGAAAAGAGCACUUCGAAGCGCGCGGUCUCUAGAGAGAUUAGCGAUCGUCUCGAUUCGACUGCGGCUCGUGCAUCAUCGAUCGAUCGAUUGAAUCGUUCGAACAGGUUGAGACUCCAUGGAGGAUCGGGGCUUGGAAGAGGUAGAGAAAGCUCGGGGUUGCUGAGCUUGGCUCUCGAGUUCGGCUUCGACGAGCAGUCCUCCAGCAAGUGCUUGGGGACUGUCUUGUUUCCCUCUACGGUAACUCGAAUCGUUAUUUCAUCGCCCAUUUUUUAUGCUGAUUAGCGUUGCGGAGGUUGUGUAGGUAUUCUGACAAUUGAUUGUGUUGCGUGGAUGAUUCGUGAAUCGAUUGAUUGUGCAGUCUUGAAUACGGAGAUUUAUUGGGGUUAGUCGUCAUUCUGAUGAUGGCUGUGGAAUGGUCUGCCUUUUGGAUGUGAAUGGAGCGGAGGAGCUGGUUAAAUCUAGUUCAUUGAUCUCGUCCCUAUUUCUCUGUGGGUUUUGCGGAGCAGUCUUAUUGACUAGCGAAAUGUUUGACUUAUUUCUGAACUGACUGGGAAUUUACAUAUGGUGUCUUGCCUACAUAUAAAUAUGGUGUCUCACUGAACUAAGUGCAAAUUACGUAUUGUGGAUUGUGUUUAUUUGAUCUCUUGUUUGCUGUGGAACUUGCAAAAUCAUUUCUUUCUUCUUUUGGUUUUCUUAAGGCAAGGAAGGUCAAGAGUUUAUCACGGUUGAGCACUGGGGCGAUGACUUCCUAGCAGAACUUCCUGAAACCAUGCAAAAAUUCUAAGGAUUGGGAUGAUUUGCAAGCUGUGGAAUCAGAGGCUUCUGUAGUUUUGACUGAUAUGUUUGGCCAAGAUAUCAGUAAUGAUCGUGAAUGCAAUGCCGUGUACGAUGUCAAUUUUAUAGAAGAUUCUCCAUGACCCGAGAAAAAUUGAACUUUCCUUGAGGUAGAUUCCUCUACUGACAGUGCAGACAACGACGAUAUAUUUGGCAGUAAAUGAGCAGGAAACCCACAUGCUAUAUUCCUGAUCAAAGCAGUACUCCGAGCCCUUUAUCCACUCAACUUCUGGCCAGACGAUCUUUAGAAUCCAUGGCAUGCUUCUGAAAACUAUGAAGUUGUCUCACUCCCUUCUGCCCCCACCAGUUUGAAAGGAUUAAGAAAAAGAAAGAAAAGCAAGGUGGCUUGGCAUGUUUUUUCCCAUGCCCAAACGUAAUUGGGUGAUAGUUGUUAAAUUUAUGGCUUGAGUUUUUGAUUCAUGGACCUAGAUUUGGCUUGGGAUUGGCUCGUUUAAUUGCAUGGACCAAAUACGCAGCUUGAAGAAUGUCUGAGUAUUGUACAGGGUUGGCCGUUCAGUGAAGCAACUGUGGACACCUGAAGAAGCCACGAUAGUUACUAGGCAAAUCCCAGGAGUCUGGCCACAAUGGUCCAGUUGUCUAGGAGGUUAACAAAAAGUUGGCAGAUCUCGGCUCAUGAGUUUUUAUUCUUUUAACAAUGAUUCUGCAACUCAUAUUUUUAUAUAUUUUUGUUGCUGAGGUAUAUUUGGGCCAAGAAGGAAAAUGAGAAGAAUUGAGAACAGAUUGUCUUGGUUUUUUAUCAGGAGAGUUUAGAGUGUCCUUUCAGAAAACUCCUGGGAAACGCUUUCCACUCGUCUCAUUUGUUUUUGAUUGACUCUUGCAAUUGGAGUUUUGGUUUGUGAGAAACUGAUUUAUUUCUUAUUGUAAUUCACUUUUGGUCAUCGUAAAAAAAACUCCUCCUAUUGACGUAGAUGAAACUGCCCAACCCCUUAAAUUAGCGUGUCACCGUUCUUUGCUCUUAAAAUGUAUUUCCUUGAAAAUUUCGAGUUUGCUUGUAAUCUGCUCACAACAGAGGACCUUGUGCAGGGUACCUGUAAAAAAACAUUUGGUAAAUUGCUUAUGAGGGCUCUCAUCCGAUCAAAUUUCAUAGACACUCCUAACUUUUGCCAGUUACUUCCACAGUCACUAAGAUCUAAAUUGACUUAUAUUAUAAUCGUUUGGUCAAAUAAGACAGUUGAUUUCUAUUUAGGAUGAUGUAUGUGACAGUCUGAUUUUUCGCUUCUGUUUUCAAUUGAAUAAUUCGGGCUUUUCGUCGACGUGCCUAUAGCGCUAUUCUCUGAGCUGAUCACUCAUGAGAUAACUUGACUAAUCGGGAAAGUUAUUAAAGAAUUUUGAUGCAACAGACUUGAAAAUUCGACCAGGAAUCGACUGCUCGACCGUGUUAGUCUACAAGGAUCAGUUCGGCACAGUCGAAAAUCUAUCAGAAAUCGGAAAUAGGUCGAUUCGAUAGAAAUAAAAUUAGAAUUGGGUGAUUCCAACUAAUUACAAAUUUCUCGUCGAUCGGCACUAAACCGAUUUUUCUGUUGUUUUGGUACCCUGUACUCGUAAUUGAAACCUCGAGAUUUUUCACGACAAUCGAGAGUUGCCAAUGCGUCGAAAAUAUAUAUCGUGGCUCGGGAAUAAUCGACCACAGGUCAGUGCACCAAAAGUUCCCAAAAACUAACCGAUAGUUUAAGUUGUGCUAGAAAUCACAUUUUGACUGAAAUUAACCGAGGAAAUGAUGUCGAUUACAGAAAUUAAGAAUUGUCACGUGUCACAAUUCAUCCCAAGGACAUUGUUGCGUCUUCUCAAAAUUUAUGGAUGAUGGGAAUUGUUCACGAAAUAUGCAAGAUCAGCAAAUUAGAAGAGCAAGGGAAUUGCCACAUUUUAAGUAGGAUUUUAAGACCUCUAAUGUGAAGCAAUUUAAGAGGUAUUAUAAUUGGUUACUAAGGGACUUGACCCUAUUGAAUUAAAUGUUAGAUUGGUAAUUAAAUAAAUAAAAAGAGAGGUCUCCUCAAAAAGGAAAUUCGUAGGACUCCCUCUCUCCUACAACUUCACCUCAAUUUCCUUAGUAUUUAAUGGAAAUUGACUUGGAAAAGUUAGGGGGACCACUUGAUAGGGAAAGGACUCAACAUCCAUGGGAAAAAGCUACGAGAAUCCACUCCAAAAUUCGGAUUUAGCAGUUCAUAGGGACUCCAACCUUUUCUUUCAUAUCAAUUGGAAGAAACAACGUUGGAAAAACUUUGUGGGGCCAAUGAGGGUGAUGGGUGGCCAAAGUUUCCAUGGAAAAUUAGGCCAAAGACUAAGGGAAACUUCAAUGAAACUUCCCAGCAACUUUCACUCUCCUUCCCCACCUUUUUUUUUUCUCACGCAUAGAAGUUUUUUGCUGUAAGUUUGUCUGCUGUAUUUUACACGGCAACUUCCAUCUUUCCCUUUCUUCCUCUUAGUUUAUUCUUCUUCCUUGUCUUUUUCAACGUACAAACCGUUGCUUUCUCUUUCCUUGAACGUUAAACUUUCAUUUAUGCUCCCUCUUGAACGACCAAACUCCAUACUUAGUUUCCUCUAUCGAAAAAUUUAUAAGUUUGUGUGUUGCUGUUGCCAUCAUACCACAUCACAAUCUUCUGCGGCUUCGGCUCAACACCAUCACCAAGAGGAUCAAGGCUGAUCUCUGUGUUGCUGUUCAACCACCAACGAGAGCCGCCGUUAGCUGUGUUUAGGUGAGUUGUCUUCUAAAUCUGGACUAGGGGUUGAGUACCUCUAUAGGAUUUGUACAAGUUAAAAUAUGUAGAUGCCGUUAUAUAUGGAUAGAUGUUGGUUAGGGACGUUAUGAUAGACAUAGAAAAGCUUAGAUAAGGCUUAGAGAGCAAAACAAAAGUCGUGGUGGAAGAUUCGGAUUAGAACAGUAGUAGAUUACCUGAAACAGUUUCUAGAACGUGUAUGUUUUGCUAAUUUUGUAGACAACUUUGUGUUGCGAUUUUGAAAGGAUUUUGUUCUGAAGAAACGUUGUGAACAUCUUAAAUA
This 16066-nucleotide long non-coding RNA is filed under the name Eucalyptus grandis. RNAcentral's name for it is "long non-coding RNA (EGRA_LNC000742)". The record is from RNAcentral. Lineage: Eukaryota; Viridiplantae; Streptophyta; Magnoliopsida; Myrtales; Myrtaceae.